GUAGGCGGUUUGUCGCGUCUGCUGUGAAAGGCCGGAGCUUAACUCCGUGUAUUGCAGUGGGUACGGGCAGACUAGAGUGCAGUAGGGGAGACUGGAAUUCCUGGUGUAGCGGUGGAAUGCGCAGAUAUCAGGAGGAACACCGAUGGCGAAGGCAGGUCUCUGGGCUGUAACUGACGCUGAGAAGCGAAAGCAUGGGGAGCGAACAGGAUUAGAUACCCUGGUAGUCCAUGCCGUAAACGUUGGGCACUAGGUGUGGGGAACAUUCCACGUUUUCCGCGCCGUAGCUAACGCAUUAAGUGCCCCGCCUGGGGAGUACGGCCGCAAGGCUAAAACUCAAAGAAAUUGACGGGGGCCCGCACAAGCGGCGGAGCAUGCGGAUUAAUUCGAUGCAACGCGAAGAACCUUACCAAGGCUUGACAUAUACUGGACCGCAUCAGAGAUGGUGUUUCCCUUCGGGGCUGGCAUACAGGUGGUGCAUGGUUGUCGUCAGCUCGUGUCGUGAGAAG
Molecule: ribosomal RNA, 506 nt
Filed under: uncultured bacterium
Lineage: Bacteria
Description: bacterial SSU rRNA
Rfam family: Bacterial small subunit ribosomal RNA
Source: RNAcentral